Molecule: ribosomal RNA, 431 nt
Filed under: Halophiloscia couchii
Lineage: Eukaryota; Metazoa; Arthropoda; Malacostraca; Isopoda; Halophilosciidae
Description: partial 28S ribosomal RNA
Rfam family: Eukaryotic large subunit ribosomal RNA
Source: RNAcentral
CCAAGGAGUCUAGACUGUGCGCGAGUCAAAGGGCUGGCUAAACCCCAAGGCGAAACGAAAGUGAAAAAGAUGUUAUCAUUUUUUUUCAUCGGGCCGAUCCGGUUCGAAGUGGAUGGCGGGGGACUUUUCGCUCCCGUUCUUCCCUUCGAUUCGUCACGGUGAACACGUGGACGGCGCAGGCCCGGGGCUCGCUUUUGCUUCCUCCGCCGUCGUUAAGGCUCGGGAGUCGUAUUGUUCCGGUCGAGAGGUCGUUGGCGCUGCAGCGGGAGGGAUUCGCGUCCUUUCCGUUCGCUCGCCCGCUCCUCGAUAGGGACCUUCUCCCCGCCGACGGCGGACGAGCGGCGGGUUCUCCGAGCGCACACUCUGGUACCCGAAAGAUGGUGAUCUAUGCCUGGCGAGGAUGAAGCCAGAGGAAACUCUGGUGGAAGUCC